CCACUGCGGGGACCUCGGUAGUGGCGAUGGAGGCGCGCGUCCCCGCCAAGGCUCGUCCCCGCCUGUCCCCUCUGGGGCUCCGGGAGGGGUGUGGGCGGGGAGCAAGAGCCCCCGACCGAGGUCUUCCUGCAGAACGUCCCCUCUCGUCCCCAUGUGAAAGGGUCCCUGCGGCUUCCAGGCUGCGCCCACGUGUGCGCGGGGCUGUCACCCCUGGCGCGCGCUCUCCGACCGGAGCCUGGGGGUCUCUUAGGGAGAUGGCUGCUCUGGGGUAGUCACCAGGCGCCGGGGAGGCUGGAUGGCGUCUGCCCCCAGGAACUGCCUGGCCGCGCGCGCGCAUCAGCCCCCUCGGCGGAGCUGCACGCCGAUGAGUAUGGCCACGCGAGAAGGACGCGGUGUUGGAGCUGGCUGGAGUCGGGCAGUGGCCUUGGGCGAGGGGAGGAGACAUUCCGGGCAGUGAAUAGAACACUCGGUCAUCCUUCCGAAAGGACCAGCAGAUACUUCUCAAGUCAGGAGGUAUGCUGAUUCUUUUGAACUUCACACAAACUAGAGUCACACGAGUAGAAGAAACCUCAAUUGAGAAUGAGACCUCAAUAAGAUACCGCCACCCCAACCUGGUCUCUUGUAGGCCAGGAUGACCUCCAACUUGCUAUGAAGCCAAGGAUGGUUGCCUCCAUAGGGCUGCUCUGUGUACGUCUGUGGCAGUGCCAUUCAUGGGCAAGUGGACCUGGGCUGUGUAAGAAAGAAAAGAAACCAUUUCUGACUUGGGAUGGAAAGGAGCUGGUGUCAUUCAGGCAAAACUCACCUGUGGUCAGCACACAGAAGCUGGGGCUCAAGGCAGCAUCUCAAACUGGCAGCCAAACUUGGUGAUGUAUAAGAGUCCCAUGUGGUACUGGUUUUGAUGGCAUGCAGGCAGCUGAGGCUUGAUGCUGUGAGACACAGGAAAGGCCAUUGGACAGCACAUUGGAAAAGGAACAUCAGUUAAGUAACUGCCUCCUUCAGGCUGCUCUGUGGUGGGUAUUUUCUUGAUUAAUAAUUGUGCUGGUUGUUUUUCAUUAACUUGACACAAACUUGAAGUCAUUUGGGAAGAGGGACCCCCAAUUGAGAAAAAGCCACUACUAGAUUGACCCCUGGGGUGUUUUCUUAUUGAUAUGGAAGGGUCCCACACAUUGUGGGUGGUGCCACUCCCGGGCUUGUGGUCCUGGGUGCUAUAAGAAAGCAGGCUGAACAAUCCACAAGGGAGAAAGCCAGUAAGCAGCACUCCUCCAUGCCCCCUGUACCAGGUGCAGCUUCCAGGUGCUUGGCCUGUCAUGGUAUCUUAUUACAGCAAUAGAAUACCUACCUAAGAUAGUGAUUGAUGUAGGAAAGCCCAAGCCAGUGUGGGCUGUGCAAUCCAUGGGCUGGCAGGCCUGGACCGUGUAAGAAAGGUAGCUGUGUAAGAAAGGGAGCUGAAGCCCAGUGUAGUAGUGCUUGGGAGGCAAAGGCAAGAGAGUCUCUUGUCAGUUUGAGGCCUAACUGGGCUACACAGUAAGAUUCUGUCUCAAGUAAAUAAACAAGCAAAUAAUCUAACUGAAAAUUUGAUGAACUAAAAAUGGCUAGUGUGUCACCGUAGAAAUUUACCCUGUCUCGUAAAAAAAAAAACAACAAAAAAAAAAGAAA
Long non-coding RNA from Mesocricetus auratus (golden hamster), 1656 nucleotides. RefSeq lists it as uncharacterized. The record is from RefSeq and is a predicted model, not a curated record. NCBI's taxonomy places the organism in Eukaryota, Metazoa, Chordata, Mammalia, Rodentia, Cricetidae. The transcript has 3 exons.